AUUGAACGCUGGCGGCAGGCCUAACACAUGCAAGUCGAACGGUAACAGAGAGCAGCUUGCUGCUCUGCUGACGAGUGGCGGACGGGUGAGUAAUGUCUGGGAAACUGCCUGAUGGAGGGGGAUAACUACUGGAAACGGUAGCUAAUACCGCAUAACGUCUUCGGACCAAAGUGGGGGACCUUCGGGCCUCAUGCCAUCAGAUGUGCCCAGAUGGGAUUAGCUAGUAGGUGGGGUAACGGCUCACCUAGGCGACGAUCCCUAGCUGGUCUGAGAGGAUGACCAGCCACACUGGAACUGAGACACGGUCCAGACUCCUACGGGAGGCAGCAGUGGGGAAUAUUGCACAAUGGGCGCAAGCCUGAUGCAGCCAUGCCGCGUGUAUGAAGAAGGCCUUCGGGUUGUAAAGUACUUUCAGCGGGGAGGAAGGCGUUGUGGUUAAUAACCGCAGCGAUUGACGUUACCCGCAGAAGAAGCACCGGCUAACUCCGUGCCAGCAGCCGCGGUAAUACGGAGGGUGCAAGCGUUAAUCGGAAUUACUGGGCGUAAAGCGCACGCAGGCGGUCUGUUAAGUCAGAUGUGAAAUCCCCGGGCUCAACCUGGGAACUGCAUUUGAAACUGGCAGGCUUGAGUCUCGUAGAGGGGGGUAGAAUUCCAGGU
Molecule: ribosomal RNA, 657 nt
Filed under: Cronobacter malonaticus
Lineage: Bacteria; Pseudomonadati; Pseudomonadota; Gammaproteobacteria; Enterobacterales; Enterobacteriaceae
Description: bacterial SSU rRNA
Rfam family: Bacterial small subunit ribosomal RNA
Source: RNAcentral